Molecule: ribosomal RNA, 386 nt
Filed under: uncultured bacterium
Lineage: Bacteria
Description: bacterial SSU rRNA
Rfam family: Bacterial small subunit ribosomal RNA
Source: RNAcentral
GUAGUCCUAGCUGUAAACGAUGGGCACUGGGUAGAGGAGGCAUCGAUACCUUCUUUGCCGAAGCUAAUGUGUUAAGUGCCCCGCCUGGGGAGUACGGUCGCAAGGCUAAAACUCAAAGGAAUUGACGGGGGCUCACACAAGCGGUGGAGCAUGUGGUUCAAUUCGAAGCAACGCGAAGAACCUUACCCGGGUUUGAAAUCCACGGAUGGGUCCGGUGAAAGCUGGAUACCCUACCCGCAAGGGUGAAACGUGGACAGGUGUUGCAUGGCUGUCGUCAGCUCGUGUCGUGAGAUGUCGGGUUAAGUCCCUCAACGAGCGAAACCCUUGUCUCUAGUUGCCAACGGUUCGGCCGGGGACUCUAGAGAGACUGCCGUUGUGAAAACGGA